This 479-nucleotide ribosomal RNA is filed under the name uncultured bacterium. RNAcentral describes it as "partial 16S ribosomal RNA". It matches the Rfam family "Bacterial small subunit ribosomal RNA", at positions 28 to 507 of the family's 1533-position model. The record is from RNAcentral.
GAUGAACGCUAGCGGGUGGCCUAACACAUGCAAGCCGAGCGGUAGAGAUUCUUCGGCUUCUUGAGAGCGGCGUAAGGGUGCGGAACACGUGUGCAACAUGCCUUUUUCAGGGUGAUAGCAUUUCGAAAGGAAGAUUAUUAUCCCAUAUUAUAUUUCAUGGCAUCAUUAGAUAUUGAAAGCUUUGGCGGAUAGUUAUGUGGACGCGCAAGAUUAGAUAGUUGGUGUGGUAACGGCUCUCCAAGUCGAUGAUCUUUAGGGGGCCUGAGAGGGUGAGCCCCCACACGGGGACUGAGACACGGACCAGACACCUACGGGAGGCAGCAGUGAGGAAGAUUGGACAAUGGAUUAGCGCCUGAUCCAGCCAUCCCGCGUGAAGGACGACGGCCCUAGGGAUUGUAAACUUCUGUUGGACAAGGAUAAACCUACUCUCGGGAGAGUAGCUGAAGGUACUGUACGAAGAAGCACCGGCUAACUCCGUG